RNAcentral lists this ribosomal RNA (473 nucleotides) under uncultured bacterium. RNAcentral describes it as "partial 16S ribosomal RNA". It matches the Rfam family "Bacterial small subunit ribosomal RNA", at positions 28 to 507 of the family's 1533-position model. The record is from RNAcentral.
GGUGAACGCUGGCGGCGUGCCUAAGACAUGCAAGUCGAGCGGGCCGCGGGGUUUUACUCCGUGGUCAGCGGCGGACGGGUGAGUAACGCGGGGGUGACCUACCCGGAAGAGGGGGACAACCCGGGGAAACUCGGGCUAAUCCCCCAUGUGGACCCGCCCCUUGGGGUGUGUCCAAAGGGCUUUGCCCGCUUCCGGAUGGGCCCGCGUCCCAUCAGCUAGUUGGUGGGGUAAUGGCCCACCAAGGCGACGACGGGUAGCCGGCCUGAGAGGGUGGCCGGCCACAGGGGCACUGAGCCACGGGCCCCACUCCUACGGGAGGCAGCAGUUAGGAAUCUUCCGCAAUGGGCGCAAGCCUGACGGAGCGACGCCGCUUGGAGGAAGAAGCCCUUCGGGGUGUAAACUCCUGAACCCGGGACGAAACCCCCGACGAGGGGACUGACGGUACCGGGGUAAUAGCGCCGGCCAACUCCGUG